Molecule: long non-coding RNA, 376 nt
Filed under: Elaeis guineensis (African oil palm)
Lineage: Eukaryota; Viridiplantae; Streptophyta; Magnoliopsida; Arecales; Arecaceae
Description: long non-coding RNA (EGUI_LNC046946)
Source: RNAcentral
GAGUUUUUUGAGAGUGUCUUAGAUCUGAAACUUCUCCUUCUACUUUCCGUCUUUGGAAGAGUCCAAAUCAAGAAGAAGGAGGCACCUGAUCAACCAUCAAAGAAGGAUCAGCGCAGUACUAGCAUACUGUGCUGAUUUCCUGAAGCAGGACUUCUGAUCGAGAUUCGUGGGCUCGUGUGGACGACUCCUAGAGGCCGGAUGCGUGUGCGGCUUGCAACAUCGUCCUUAAGCCCAGAUCAGUGAGGUUAGAGAGUCUAAAUCGCAAGGUAAUAGAUCUGAUCUAUUGUUUAAUACAUACAUUAAAUGUGGUAUAAAAACAUGUUGAUUUGAUCAACAUGUAGUUCAUGCUAUAUUUAUAUAUUUUAAUUUAUGAUUU